This 60-nucleotide transfer RNA is filed under the name Diaphanes sp. FM11. Its description in RNAcentral is "tRNA-Arg". The record is from RNAcentral. Lineage: Eukaryota; Metazoa; Arthropoda; Insecta; Coleoptera; Lampyridae.
AAAUAAGAAACAAAACUUGUAAUUAGUUUCGACCUAAUCCUUGGCAUAUGCCCUUAUUUA